CCAUCACUCCUUCCUUACCCUGAGGUACAUACCAUUACAUUACUCGCAGAAACCUUCUUUAUUUUGUAGCUGUUUCAGAAGAAAAAGGAUGAUUUUUUUUUUCUUUUCUAUCUGAUUAAAUUUUGUUGUUUUUAAACCUUUUUUUUUUGGAACCCAUUUCCCUUUUGGUCUCUCUCCCACAGUUUGUUAUACACUUAAAUCAAAAUAAAAUCUUUAAUUGAUUUUUCACUUUUUUUUUCCCGUCUGAGUUAUGGUGUUAUUGAGGUCAUUUUCAUGGCUAUUGAAGCUUUAAGUCUCUGUUGCUUUUUUUUUUAAGAGGAAAAAGAGAGGAAAAUAUGGUUUUUGUGGAAUAUGAGAGAACCCAUUUUCAUUUUACAUGUUCUUCAUUAUGGCUAUGUUUCAAUCCAUGAAGAUUUUUCACCCGGCAGUGUUCAAUAUCUGUGUUGUAUUUUAACAACAAAAAAGCUUCGACGUUAAUGCUUACUGUUAUUAAUUAAAUUUCAGCAUAAGAUGGAAAUUUUUUUGGCUUAUUUAGUCUAUACGAUGUUUGAAAAAUCCAAACAAAAAACUUUUGAAUGCAAAAGUCUCAUGGCAAGUGUUUCUUAAA
RNAcentral lists this unclassified non-coding RNA (607 nucleotides) under Hevea brasiliensis (rubber tree). Lineage: Eukaryota; Viridiplantae; Streptophyta; Magnoliopsida; Malpighiales; Euphorbiaceae. The record is from RNAcentral.